Molecule: ribosomal RNA, 588 nt
Filed under: Colletotrichum gloeosporioides
Lineage: Eukaryota; Fungi; Ascomycota; Sordariomycetes; Glomerellales; Glomerellaceae
Description: eukaryotic LSU rRNA
Rfam family: 5.8S ribosomal RNA (bases 224-377)
Source: RNAcentral
AGUAAAAGUCGUAACAAGGUCUCCGUUGGUGAACCAGCGGAGGGAUCAUUACUGAGUUUACGCUCUACAACCCUUUGUGAACAUACCUAUAACUGUUGCUUCGGCGGGUAGGGUCUCCGCGACCCUCCCGGCCUCCCGCCUCCGGGCGGGUCGGCGCCCGCCGGAGGAUAACCAAACUCUGAUUUAACGACGUUUCUUCUGAGUGGUACAAGCAAAUAAUCAAAACUUUUAACAACGGAUCUCUUGGUUCUGGCAUCGAUGAAGAACGCAGCGAAAUGCGAUAAGUAAUGUGAAUUGCAGAAUUCAGUGAAUCAUCGAAUCUUUGAACGCACAUUGCGCCCGCCAGCAUUCUGGCGGGCAUGCCUGUUCGAGCGUCAUUUCAACCCUCAAGCUCUGCUUGGUGUUGGGGCCCUACAGCCGAUGUAGGCCCUCAAAGGUAGUGGCGGACCCUCCCGGAGCCUCCUUUGCGUAGUAACUUUACGUCUCGCACUGGGAUCCGGAGGGACUCUUGCCGUAAAACCCCCCAAUUUUCCAAAGGUUGACCUCGGAUCAGGUAGGAAUACCCGCUGAACUUAAGCAUAUCAAUAA